UGGCAAUGAUUGACUAUCUUAGGACACCUUUGGAAUCAAACAUGAAACCAACCUUAAUUCUGAGCCAC
Molecule: small nucleolar RNA, 68 nt
Filed under: Xenopus laevis (African clawed frog)
Lineage: Eukaryota; Metazoa; Chordata; Amphibia; Anura; Pipidae
Description: Small nucleolar RNA SNORD58
Rfam family: Small nucleolar RNA SNORD58
About the family: snoRNA U58 is found in introns 1, 3 and 6 of the ribosomal protein RPL17 gene in humans. U58 is a member of the C/D class of snoRNA which contain C (UGAUGA) and D (CUGA) box motifs.
Source: Rfam by way of RNAcentral